AGCUUUGCACAGUGGCAGUACUGUAGCCAAUGAGGUUUAUCCAAGGCAUGAUUAUUGCAAUUGAAAACUUUUCCCAAUACCCCGCCAUGAUGACUCUGGAAAUGUAGUCGGCAUUGGCAAUUUUUGGCAGUCUCUAUGGGGA
Molecule: small nuclear RNA, 142 nt
Filed under: Aotus nancymaae (Ma's night monkey)
Lineage: Eukaryota; Metazoa; Chordata; Mammalia; Primates; Aotidae
Description: U4 spliceosomal RNA (ENSANAG00000003524.1)
Rfam family: U4 spliceosomal RNA
About the family: U4 small nuclear RNA (U4 snRNA) is a component of the major U2-dependent spliceosome. The structure of U4 snRNA from yeast and human has been reported.
Source: Rfam by way of RNAcentral